Molecule: ribosomal RNA, 253 nt
Filed under: uncultured bacterium
Lineage: Bacteria
Description: partial 16S ribosomal RNA
Rfam family: Bacterial small subunit ribosomal RNA
Source: RNAcentral
UACGUAGGGUGCAAGCGUUGUCCGGAAUUAUUGGGCGUAAAGAGCUCGUAGGCGGUUUGUCGCGUCUGGUGUGAAAAUCCAGGGCUUAACCCUGGACCUGCAUCGGGUACGGGCAGACUAGAGUGCGGUAGGGGAGAUCGGAAUUCCUGGUGUAGCGGUGAAAUGCGCAGAUAUCAGGAGGAACACCGGUGGCGAAGGCGGUUCUCUGGGCCUGUACUGACGCUGAGGAACGAAAGCGUGGGGAGCGAACAGG